AUUGGACGCUGGCGGCAUGCUUUACACAUGCAAGUCGAACGGUAACAGGUUAAGCUGACGAGUGGCGAACGGGUGAGUAAUGCAUCGGAACGUGCCCGGUCGUGGGGGAUAACGCAGCGAAAGCUGCGCUAAUACCGCAUACGAUCUGAGGAUGAAAGCGGGGGACCGUAAGGCCUCGCGCGAUCGGAGCGGCCGAUGUCAGAUUAGGUAGUUGGUGGGGGAAAGGCUCACCAAGCCAACGAUCUGUAGCUGGGCGGAGAGGACGACCAGCCACACUGGGACUGAGACACGGCCCAGACUCCUACGGGAGGCAGCAGUGGGGAAUUUUGGACAAUGGGCGAAAGCCUGAUCCAGCAAUGCCGCGUGCAGGAAGAAGGCCUUCGGGUUGUAAACUGCUUUUGUACGGAGCGAAAAGGUCUCCUCUAAUACAGGGGGCUCAUGACGGUACCGUAAGAAUAAGCACCGGCUAACUACGUGCCAGCCGCCGCCGUAA
This 493-nucleotide ribosomal RNA is filed under the name uncultured bacterium. RNAcentral describes it as "partial 16S ribosomal RNA". It matches the Rfam family "Bacterial small subunit ribosomal RNA", at positions 29 to 523 of the family's 1533-position model. The record is from RNAcentral.